UUUCCGGUUGAUCCUGCCAGAGGCCAUUGCUAUCAGGGUUUGACUAAGCCAUGCGAGUCGAGAGGUGUAAGACCUCGGCAUACUGCUCAGUAACACGUGGUUAACCUGCCCUAAGGUGGAGAAUACUCCCGGGAAACUGGGGCUAAUGCUCCAUAGUGGAUAUGUCCUGGAAUGGUAUAUCCUCGAAAGAUCCGUCGCCUUAGGAUGGGACUGCGUCCGAUUAGGUUGUUGGCGGGGUAACGGCCCACCAAGCCAUUGAUCGGUACGGGUUGUGGGAGCAAGAUCCCGGAGAUGGAUUCUGAGACAUGAAUCCAGGCCCUACGGGGCGCAGCAGGCGCGCAAACUUUACAAUGCGAGCAAUCGUGAUAAGGAAACCCUGAGUGCCUGUCGAUGCAGGCUGUUCAUAUAUCUAAAUCAUAUGUGAAGAAAGGGCAGGGCAAGACCGGUGCCAGCCGCCGCGGUAAUACCGGCUGCUCGAGUGAUGGCCACUAUUACUGGGUUUAAAGCGUCCGUAGCUUGACUGUUAGGUCUCUUGGGAAAUCUUCACGCUCAACGUGAAGGCGUCUAAGAGAUACCGGCAGUCUUGGAACUGGGAGAGGUAAACCGUACUUCGGGGGUAGGGAGUGAAAUCUUUGUAAUCCUCGAGGGACGACCUAUGGCGAAGGCAGUUUACCAGAACAGCUUCGACAGUGAGGGACGAAAGCUGGGGGAGCAAACGGGAUUAGAUACCCCGGUAGUCCCAGCCGUAACAAUGUGCGUUAGUGUGUCGGUAACCCCGUGUUACUGAUGCGCCGAAGAGAAAUCGUGAACGCACCACCUGGGAAGUACAGUCGCAAGGCUGAACUUAAAGAAUAGGCGGGGGGAG
RNAcentral lists this ribosomal RNA (865 nucleotides) under uncultured archaeon. Its description in RNAcentral is "bacterial SSU rRNA". It matches the Rfam family "Archaeal small subunit ribosomal RNA", at positions 1 to 876 of the family's 1478-position model. The record is from RNAcentral.